This 412-nucleotide ribosomal RNA is filed under the name uncultured bacterium. RNAcentral describes it as "bacterial SSU rRNA". It matches the Rfam family "Bacterial small subunit ribosomal RNA", at positions 505 to 916 of the family's 1533-position model. The record is from RNAcentral.
GUGUCAGCAGCCGCGGUAAGACGGACCGUCCGAACGUUACCCGGAAUUACUGGGCGUAAAGGGGGCGUAGGCGGUAAAAGAAGUCAUCUGUGAAAACCUAUUGCUCGACGAUAGGCUAGCGGAUGAAACUGAAUUACUUGAGGGCACCAGAGGUAGACGGAAUUACCCGAGUAGGGGUGAAAUCCGCAGAUACGGGUAGGAACGCCGGUGGAGAAGUCGGUCUACUGGGGUGUAACAGACGCUGAGGCCCGAAAGCUAGGGGAGCAAACCGGAUUAGAUACCCGGGUAGUCCUAGCCGUAAACGAUGCUCACUAGGUGUAGGGAGUGACAAACUCUCUGUGCUGAAGCAAACGCGCUAAGUGAGCCGCCUGGGGAGUACGUCCGCAAGGAUGAAACUCAAAGGAAUUGACGG